Selaginella moellendorffii is the source of this 556-nucleotide long non-coding RNA. RefSeq lists it as uncharacterized. The transcript has 3 exons. The record is from RefSeq and is a predicted model, not a curated record. NCBI's taxonomy places the organism in Eukaryota, Viridiplantae, Streptophyta, Lycopodiopsida, Selaginellales, Selaginellaceae.
CUUUAAAACGGGAACCAAAAGCGGCAUUGUUCUCAACAAACCAACCGAUUGGCGGUUCCAUCAUCUUGACUUUCAGAGCUAGUUCUAAAUAACGCGAAACUUUCUCAGCAACUCAGGGACAACAACUAGGGGACCUGACAACCAAGCAAGGCAAAUUUCCCCACCCUUGAUAUCGAUCUUCCAACUUGGGGACUGGGCAACCACGACAGCGAGAGUAAAAGGUAGUGGAGCAAAAUUGCGGGCGGUGCUGCUGCUAGUGUUGGUACGUCAAUGCUUUUUCACAAGUACUCCACCUUAGCUUGGGAAGCGGAUUAAUAAGUGCUUUGCUUUGGUGCUCUAGUCUCUCAUUUCGAAGAUCCAAAAACAAAAAAACGUUGGUGGAGUGGACGAUGGAUCGAUGGGCGAUAGAUUUCUUCGAUUAAUCAAACUUACGAGCGCACACGGAGAAAGAAUUGCGAGACGGCGACGUUUGCGUUGUAGGAAAGGUCAACAUACGAAUUGCAAUCCCGAGUUGAUUAAAAUCGAAAUCAAUGCAAUCGAUACCGGCACCCGAUUC